CACGAACCGUACGAACGUUAUUCGGAAUUACUGGGCUUAAAGGGUUUGUAGGCGGCUUUGUAAGUCAGGUGUGAAAGCCCUCGGCUCAACCGAGGAACAGCGCCUGAUACUGCAAAGCUUGAGGGAGACAGGGGUAAGCGGAACUGAUGGUGGAGCGGUGAAAUGCGUUGAUAUCAUCAGGAACACCGGUGGCGAAAGCGGCUUACUGGGUCUCUUCUGACGCUGAGGAACGAAAGCUAGGGUAGCGAACGGG
Molecule: unclassified non-coding RNA, 253 nt
Filed under: uncultured Pirellulaceae bacterium
Lineage: Bacteria; Pseudomonadati; Planctomycetota; Planctomycetia; Pirellulales; Pirellulaceae
Description: contains 16S-23S intergenic spacer region
Rfam family: Bacterial small subunit ribosomal RNA
Source: RNAcentral